ACCAAAUGGAACAGAUGAGUUUGGUACUUUGCAAAGUGCACAAGCUGCUACUGAACUAGACUCACUGUUAAGGGGGAGGGAGUAGCUAACUGGGGCCAUUCUUGUUCCCUCCUGCAGGAAUUCCAGACUGACUCUGACAGGGAAAUUGCAAGAGAGCCAGUCAUAUUUCAGGGCGAUGAAAAAUUAUUGGGAGCAAAAAAGGACAGGAAAAAAAGAAGCACAAGCCAUGUAGCAUGGAUACACUGAGACAGAGAGGAAGGCCAGAGCCUCCUUGUCUUCCAAGCUCUAAAGUUUCUCGGGGGAAGGGCAGGAGCCUCAGGGGAUGUGUCUUUAGGUGAUCUCACAUCAGCAUUUUGUGACUUUUUUUUCAGUCUGGUAGGCAGGCAGUGCUGGUGCUUCUGUCUCUGCCUCUGUCCCUUCUGGCUUCCUCCAUGAUGCAGAGGGAGGGGUGCUGCUUUCCCUAAGCUGCCCUCCAACACACACCUCUACCAGGAUAAAGUAACUGAAAUUAAUGGGACUCCUGGAGGAAAUCCAGGACUCAGGAAUAAAUCUUAUUAUACAGAUGAGUGGCUGAUCAAGAUGACAGGGAGUAAUCCUUCAGAUCUAAUGAGUGAGGAAGCAUAUGAAAAAUACAUGAACUUGUGGGAGUAGAGGAAUAAUGGUUAUGCAAAGAGUCCCUCAUGCCUGAGGCUCCAAAGUCCCAGGUUCAAUCCCCUGUAUCACCAUAAAGCAGGUCUGAGCAGUGCUGUAGUAAGUAAUAAUAAUACCUAAACUCUAUCAAGGAGGGUGGGUUAGAUAGCAUUAUGGUUAUGAAAACAGACUGUUAAGCCUAAAGCUCCAAAGCCCCAGGUUCAGUCCUCCUCACCACCAUAAGGCAGGGCUGAUCAGUGCUCUGGUAAAAAAAAAAAAAAAAAAAAAAAAAAGUAAAAGACAAAAUCUAUCAAAGAAUAAAAAUAGAAUCCUUAAGCUAGUAUGAAACAACUUAAUCUAGCACAGUUGCUUUAAAUUAAUCAUAGAUAUAAGAACUUCUAAGAAUAGCAAUAGGAUAAAUUACUUACAGCAAUACUUCUGGGUUAAACUACCCCUUAACUUAUUAACUAUUGCAUGAGUAUGACAUAGUUCUUUUUUUUACAUAAUACACUUUCCAUAAUACCCAUUUAUAUAUAGGCCAGUCUUCAGGUAUAAUAUCUAAUUUUAUGAGAAUGUCUAGCUAAAAAUCAUGUAAUUCUAAGACAGCACUAAUAUCUUAAUUCAUUAUAAUGUAAAUGCUCACAGCCAUCCCUGGUCACAGUACUUACUGAUAUUUACUCGAAAUAACUGGCAGUGAAGAAGUAGUAGUUGCAUAGCCCCAGACCAAAAAUAUUGUCUAAUGUGUUUGAUGGUACUACUUUAAAAAAAAUAUAUUUAGUAAUGAGGAAGGAGGAGAGAGAGAAAGAGCUGGUACAUAUUGAAUUGAACUCAGGACCUCAUGCUUGAGAACCCAAUGCUUUAUCCACAGAGCCACCUCCUGGACCACUGAUGGUACUAUUUUUAUAUUAUGAAGCAAUAGUUUUGCUGGAAAACAAGAAUUCCUGUUUCUCUCCUUAAGGAGCUGCUCAUGGAAAGAUGACUCUGACCAGCAAAAGAAUGCUGCUGAGAGCCUGGAGCCAUGCACGGAGUGGUCCUGCUGGUGGGAUGGUGCCAUAGACUACUGAGAGGAUACUGCAGAGUCUGGAGAACUGAGAAGAUGGUGGGUGCAGGUCCUGAAGACAGAGGUCUGAGCAGGCUGCUUCAAACUGACCUAGAAGUAGGGGCCGGGUGGUGGUGCACCUGGUUAAAUGCACCAGUUGCAAUGCACAAGAGCCUGGGUUUGAUCCCCUGGUCCCCAACUGCAGGGGAGAAUCUUUGUGAGUGGUGAAGCAGUUCUGCAUGUGUAUCUCUUUCUCUGUAUCACCCCCUUCCUUCUUGAUUUCUGGCUGUCUCUAUCCAAUAAAUAGAUAAUUUAGAAAUAAACAAAGUGACCUAGAUGUACCUGGAAACAGCCAGUGUCCAAGUUCUUCUGGAUGUCCUCUCUGCAGUCCUGCUUUUUGAGCCCCACCCUUAUAAACUGUGUUAUGUCCUUCUGGCCUGCUCUGCUCCCACAGGGGGAUCCCAAUAUCUGAUUGCUCACAACUGGGUUUUCCGUGGGGUACUACCUGCUUUACCAUGGGACCAAGCACCUGGGGGCCCAGCACUCUGUCCUAUUCUGAAGUCACGUUAAAUAGUUAUUAGGAAACUUAUUAAUCUAAGAGGUUGGGGCUCUAAAAUGAAGCCAUGAAGAAAAUUGUUUGAGGUGCCAAUUAGUGGUGCACCCUCUUGAGGUCACAUGAUCCAGUGUGCAAGGACUCAGGCUCCAGCAGGAGCAAAGCUUCUUGAGUGGUGAGAUAGUGUUGCAGGUAUUUCUUGAGUCUCUAUCUACCUCCCUCUUCCCUCUCAAUUUCUGGCUUUAUCAAAUCAAUAAAUAGAAAUAAUUUUAAAACAGAGAUAUAUACAUUUGAAAUAUAUUUCUUCUUUCUUCCUUGAUUUUUGUGUGUCUAUGUGUCUGUGUGAGACUAAGCCUUCCUUGGUCUACAUAGUGGAAAAUUUUCACUGCUCCCAAUGGACUUUUGGUUUUCAUUUUUCCUCAAUAAAGAGUAAGAGUGCUGGGGAGAUAACACAAUGGGUAUGCAAAACACUUUUGUGCCUGAGGCUCCAAAAUCCCAGGUUCAUUGCCCAGCACCAGCAGAAGCUGUAUCUCUGUUUCUCUCAUAUGAUGGUGCUGGGGAAUGAACCUGGGUAAGUGGGGGAGAUUCUCAGACAGUGGAUCUAUCCUGAAUAUGGGUGGUUGGACCUGAAGUCAGGGCCUUGUCCAUGUUGGGGGAUAAGGGAAAGGCUGGAUGGCCCUAUGCAAGGUGAUCAGGUUGGGGGUUCAGUACUGGGAGUCAGCACUCUGUAGCAUCCUGCUGUGACCCGUGAAAUGAUGAUUGCUUGGCUCUCACAGGGCCCAUGGUUUCAGUAAAUACAGAUCAAGGAAACAUGUUAUUUAUUUACUUACUUACUUAUGUAUUCCUCCAGGAUUAUCUCUGGGGCUCAGUGCCUGCCUUAUAAAUUCACUGCUCCUGGAAGCCUUUUUUUUUCCUAUUUAUUGCCCUUGUUGUUAUUGCUGUUGUUGGAUAGGACAAAGAGAAAUCAAAAGAAGGGGUAGACAGAGAGGUGGAAAUAUUACCACCUGCAUACCUGCUUCACUGCUUAUGAAGUGACCCCCCCCCCCCCCUGCAGGUGGGGAGCUUUGGGCUAGAACUCAGAUCCUUACUCCAGUGUUUGCAUUUCAUGCCAUGUGCACUUAACUCGCUGCACUGCUACUCAGCCACCAAAGAAACUUUUACUUUACUUUCCUUUGACUUUUUUUUUUUUCCCACCAGAGCACUGCUCAUCUCUGGUUUAUGGUGGUACAGGGAUUGAAUUUUGGGUUUUGGAGCCUCACGCAUGAGAGUUUCUUUGCAUAACCACUACACUAUCUAGCCCCACCCUAUUUUUUUUAGUGACUAUUAUAAUGAAUUCUGAUGCCCCAAUUAUUUUAUAUUUAUUUAUUUUCCCUUUUUGUUGCCCUUGUUUUUUUUUAUUGCUGUUGUAGUUAUUAUUUUUGUUAUUAUUGAUGUCAUUAUUGGAUAGGACAGAGAGAAAUGGAGAGAGGAGGGGAAGACAGAGAGGGGGAGAGAAAGACAGACACCUGCAGACCUGCUUCACCGCCUGUGAAGCAACUCCCCUGCAGGUGGGGAGCCAGGGGCUAGAACAGGGAUCCUUGCUAGUCCUUGCGCUUAGCACCAUGUGCACUUAAUCCAUGGCACUACCACCCAACUCCUGCCCUAAUUAUUUCUUUUUUUUUAAUUUUUUAUUUAAGAAAGGAUUAAUGAACAAAAACAUAAGGUAGGAGGGGUACAACUCCACACAAUUCCCACCACCCAAUCCCCAUAACCCACCCCCUCCCAUGAUAGCUUUCCCAUUCUCUAGCCCUCUGGGAGCAUGUUUCUAACCCUAUGCUGUUUAGGUUCUUAUUCUUUUUGUUUUUGUUAUCUUGAUUUAUUGGGUAGAGACAGCUAGAAAUCGAGAAGGUAGGGGAGAUAGAGAGGGAGAGAGAAAGAGAGACACCUGCAGCCCUGCUUCACCACUUCCAAAGCUUUCCCUCUGCAGGUGCAGACCAGGAGCUCAAACCUGGGUCCUUGAGCACUGUAACAUGUGUGCUCAACCAGGUACGCCACCACCCGGUCCCUAUAUUCUUACUCUUACACUGAUUCUAACCUGGCUUGGUAGGAAGUAGGAUGUAUUACAAAAUACAGAGAGAAAGACACAGAAAUGAAGACCAGAGCAGCACUCAUCUCUGACUUAUGGUGUUAAUGGAACCUGAGACAAUGGAACCUCAGGCAAGAAAGUCAUUUGCAUAACUGUUAUGUCAUCUUCUCAGCCCGAUAAAUUAAAAAAGUAAAUAAAUAAACAUCAACUUGAUCA
Molecule: long non-coding RNA, 4503 nt
Organism: Erinaceus europaeus (western European hedgehog)
Lineage: Eukaryota; Metazoa; Chordata; Mammalia; Eulipotyphla; Erinaceidae
Exons: 3
Source: RefSeq, a predicted model, not a curated record